This 253-nucleotide ribosomal RNA is filed under the name uncultured bacterium. RNAcentral's name for it is "partial 16S ribosomal RNA". It matches the Rfam family "Bacterial small subunit ribosomal RNA", at positions 524 to 776 of the family's 1533-position model. The record is from RNAcentral.
UACGUAGGGUGCAAGCGUUGUCCGAAAUUAUUGGGCGUAAAGAGCUCGUAGGCGGUUUGUCGCGUCUGCUGUGAAAACCCGAGGCUCAACCUCGGGCCUGCAGUGGGUACGGGCAGACUAGAGUGCGGUAGGGGAGAUUGGAAUUCCGCGUGUAGUGGUGAAAUGCGUAGAGAUGCGGAGGAACACCAGUGGCGAAAGCGACUUUCUGGUCCUUAACUGACGCUGAGGCGCGAAAGCAUGGGGAGCGAACGGG